GGACCGCUGGUGCAACGGUAGCGCGUUCGACUCCAGAUCGAAAGGUUAUCCGUUCAAAUUGGGUGUGUUUCA
Molecule: non-coding RNA, 72 nt
Organism: Monilinia vaccinii-corymbosi
Lineage: Eukaryota; Fungi; Ascomycota; Leotiomycetes; Helotiales; Sclerotiniaceae
Source: the annotation of a GenBank genome assembly